This 513-nucleotide ribosomal RNA is filed under the name uncultured bacterium. RNAcentral's name for it is "bacterial SSU rRNA". It matches the Rfam family "Bacterial small subunit ribosomal RNA", at positions 15 to 518 of the family's 1533-position model. The record is from RNAcentral.
GAUCAUGGCUCAGGAUGAGCGCUAGCGACAGGCUUAACACAUGCAAGUCGAGGGGCAGCACGGGAGUAGCAAUACGUUGGUGGCCGACCGGCGCACGGGUGAGUAACGCGUAUGCAACCUACCUAUCGAGGGGGGAAUAACCCGGCGAAAGUCGGACUAAUACCGCAUAAACAGGGGCACCGCAUGGUGAUAUUUGUUAAAGAAAUUCGCUGAUAGAUGGGCAUGCGUUCCAUUAGGUAGUUGGUGAGGUAACGGCUCACCAAGCCGACGAUGGAUAGGGGAACUGAGAGGUUGGUCCCCCACACUGGUACUGAGACACGGACCAGACUCCUACGGGAGGCAGCAGUGAGGAAUAUUGGUCAAUGGGCGGGAGCCUGAACCAGCCAAGUCGCCGUGAAGGAAGAAGGAUCUAUGGUUCGUAAACUUCUUUUGCAGGGGAAUAAAGUGCAGGACGUGUCCUGUUUUGUAUGUACCCUGAGAAUAAGGAUCGGCUAACUCCGUGCCAGCCGCGGC